Molecule: ribosomal RNA, 207 nt
Filed under: uncultured bacterium
Lineage: Bacteria
Description: partial 16S ribosomal RNA
Rfam family: Bacterial small subunit ribosomal RNA
Source: RNAcentral
CACGUAGGCGGCUUCUUAAGUCGGUGGUGAAAUCCUGGAGCUCAACUCCAGAACUGCCUUCGAUACUGGGAAGCUCGAGUCCGGGAGAGGUGAGUGGAACUGCGAGUGUAGAGGUGAAAUUCGUAGAUAUUCGCAAGAACACCAGUGGCGAAGGCGGCUCACUGGCCCGGUACUGACGCUGAGGUGCGAAAGCGUGGGGAGCAAACA